GAUGAACGCUGGCGGCGUGCCUAAUACAUGCAAGUCGAGCGAACGGACGAGAAGCUUGCUUCUCUGAUGUUAGCGGCGGACGGGUGAGUAACACGUGGAUAACCUACCUAUAAGACUGGGAUAACUUCGGGAAACCGGAGCUAAUACCGGAUAAUAUUUUGAACCGCAUGGUUCAAAAGUGAAAGACGGUCUUGCUGUCACUUAUAGAUGGAUCCGCGCUGCAUUAGCUAGUUGGUAAGGUAACGGCUUACCAAGGCAACGAUGCAUAGCCGACCUGAGAGGGUGAUCGGCCACACUGGAACUGAGACACGGUCCAGACUCCUACGGGAGGCAGCAGUAGGGAAUCUUCCGCAAUGGGCGAAAGCCUGACGGAGCAACGCCGCGUGAGUGAUGAAGGUCUUCGGAUCGUAAAACUCUGUUAUUAGGGAAGAACAUAUGUGUAAGUAACUGUGCACAUCUUGACGGUACCUAAUCAGAAAGCCACGGCUAACUACGUGCCAGCAGCCGCGGUAAUACGUAGGUGGCAAGCGUUAUCCGGAAUUAUUGGGCGUAAAGCGCGCGUAGGCGGUUUUUUAAGUCUGAUGUGAAAGCCCACGGCUCAACCGUGGAGGGUCAUUGGAAACUGGAAAACUUGAGUGCAGAAGAGGAAAGUGGAAUUCCAUGUGUAGCGGUGAAAUGCGCAGAGAUAUGGAGGAACACCAGUGGCGAAGGCGACUUUCUGGUCUGUAACUGACGCUGAUGUGCGAAAGCGUGGGGAUCGAACAGGAUUAGAUCCCGUGGUAGUCCACGCCGUAAACGAUGAGUGCUAAGUGUUAGGGGGUUUCCGCCCCUUAGUGCUGCAGCUAACGCAUUAAGCACUCCGCCUGGGGAGUACGACCGCAAGGUUGAAACUCAAAGGAAUUGACGGGGACCCGCACAAGCGGUGGAGCAUGUGGUUUAAUUCGAAGCAACGCGAAGAACCUUACCAAAUCUUGACAUCCUUUGACAACUCUAGAGAUAGAGCCUUCCCCUUCGGGGGACAAAGUGACAGGUGGUGCAUGGUUGUCGUCAGCUCGUGUCGUGAGAUGUUGGGUUAAGUCCCGCAACGAGCGCAACCCUUAAGCUUAGUUGCCAUCAUUAAGUUGGGCACUCUAAGUUGACUGCCGGUGACAAACCGGAGGAAGGUGGGGAUGACGUCAAAUCAUCAUGCCCCUUAUGAUUUGGGCUACACACGUGCUACAAUGGACAAUACAAAGGGCAGCGAAACCGCGAGGUCAAGCAAAUCCCAUAAAGUUGUUCUCAGUUCGGAUUGUAGUCUGCAACUCGACUACAUGAAGCUGGAAUCGCUAGUAAUCGUAGAUCAGCAUGCUACGGUGAAUACGUUCCCGGGUCU
RNAcentral lists this ribosomal RNA (1372 nucleotides) under uncultured bacterium. RNAcentral's name for it is "bacterial SSU rRNA". It matches the Rfam family "Bacterial small subunit ribosomal RNA", at positions 28 to 1381 of the family's 1533-position model. The record is from RNAcentral.